UGGUACAGAGCCUGGUGGAGAAGCUGCAC
This 29-nucleotide non-coding RNA is filed under the name Homo sapiens (human). Lineage: Eukaryota; Metazoa; Chordata; Mammalia; Primates; Hominidae. The record is from RNAcentral.